UAGGACGUUGGCUUAUCGGUUUGAGCACAAGACUUUUAAUCUUGGGAGACAGGUUCGACUCCUGUACGUCCUACCAG
This 77-nucleotide transfer RNA is filed under the name Hafnia phage vB_HpaM_Zyzzx. RNAcentral's name for it is "tRNA-Lys". It matches the Rfam family "tRNA". Rfam says of the family: Transfer RNA (tRNA) molecules are approximately 80 nucleotides in length. Their secondary structure includes four short double-helical elements and three loops (D, anti-codon, and T loops). Lineage: Duplodnaviria; Heunggongvirae; Uroviricota; Caudoviricetes; Andersonviridae. The record is from RNAcentral.